Molecule: ribosomal RNA, 424 nt
Filed under: uncultured Hydrogenophaga sp.
Lineage: Bacteria; Pseudomonadati; Pseudomonadota; Betaproteobacteria; Burkholderiales; Comamonadaceae
Description: bacterial SSU rRNA
Rfam family: Bacterial small subunit ribosomal RNA
Source: RNAcentral
GGAAUUUUGGACAAUGGGCGCAAGCCUGAUCCAGCAAUGCCGCGUGCAGGAAGAAGGCCUUCGGGUUGUAAACUGCUUUUGUACGGAACGAAACGGUCCUGGUUAAUACCUGUGGCUAAUGACGGUACCGUAAGAAUAAGCACCGGCUAACUACGUGCCAGCAGCCGCGGUAAUACGUAGGGUGCAAUCGUUAAUCGGAAUUACUGGGCGUAAAGCGUGCGCAGGCGGUUUUGUAAGACAGGCGUGAAAUCCCCGGGCUUAACCUGGGAAUUGCGCUUGUGACUGCAAGGCUGGAGUGCGGCAGAGGGGGAUGGAAUUCCGCGUGUAGCAGUGAAAUGCGUAGAUAUGCGGAGGAACACCGAUGGCGAAGGCAAUCCCCUGGGCCUGCACUGACGCUCAUGCACGAAAGCGUGGGGAGCAAACA